UUAAUUGUGUGUCAACUGGAAUUCAAGAAACUGUCUUCCUGUUUGGGGAGUUGCUGUUCCCAUUUUCCAGAUAGCAAACUGAGAUCCCAGCAAGGACGGCGUGAGGUCCCACCUGUCAGCUCAGCUAACGGACAAGGGAGCUCAUCUGGGUGCACGUGGGGAAGAGGACAGUGGAGACUAGAUGUAAGCCCCUAAGAAGAUGCACAUCUGCAGAUACAGUUCCUUUUGGGAGAACAAGAAAACAGAUUGCAGAGGUGCUGAAUCCUAUAUUCUCCCUUUUGGAAAGUCACAGCUACCGGGGCUGAGAAUGCGAUCAGGAACCAUGUGGAAGCCACAGCGAUGCGGAGAAGACACUGUGCAGAAAGCCUUGCCCCAAACAGCUCGAAAACACAGUGAGGGGCUGGCUGGUAAGGAGGCUGUGCAGCCUGGGAGUGGGGAGACAAACCUGCCCCAGACACUGGGCCUGGCACUCCAGUUCUGGCUCUCGGUCCCGUCGCGAAAUCCCUUCCACCUCUUGAGAGCUCAUGAUUUCCCUUUAGGACAAAGGGCUCUGCCUCUCUAAGCCCCAGGUGUGCCACCAGUUUACUGCCUGGACCGUGCACCGUGGGAUGUCCUUCUCAGGUCCCCAACUGAGUUGUUUUUUUUUAAAGAUUGUAUUCAUUUGAGGGAU
RNAcentral lists this long non-coding RNA (670 nucleotides) under Vulpes vulpes (red fox). Its description in RNAcentral is "lncRNA (ENSVVUG00000008448.1)". Lineage: Eukaryota; Metazoa; Chordata; Mammalia; Carnivora; Canidae. The record is from RNAcentral.